GCCCCCGUAGCUCAGGGGAUAGAGCGUCGGUUUCCUAAACCGUGCGUCGCAGGUUCGAAUCCUGCCGGGGGCACCA
This 76-nucleotide transfer RNA is filed under the name Kribbella alba. RNAcentral describes it as "tRNA-Arg". It matches the Rfam family "tRNA". Rfam says of the family: Transfer RNA (tRNA) molecules are approximately 80 nucleotides in length. Their secondary structure includes four short double-helical elements and three loops (D, anti-codon, and T loops). Further hydrogen bonds mediate the characteristic L-shaped molecular structure. tRNAs have two regions of fundamental functional importance: the anti-codon, which is responsible for specific mRNA codon recognition, and the 3' end, to which the tRNAs corresponding amino acid is attached (by aminoacyl-tRNA synthetases). tRNAs cope with the degeneracy of the genetic code in two manners: having more than one tRNA (with a specific anti-codon) for a particular amino acid; and 'wobble' base-pairing, i.e. permitting non-standard base-pairing at the 3rd anti-codon position. RNAcentral also lists the same sequence under 31 other names. Lineage: Bacteria; Bacillati; Actinomycetota; Actinomycetes; Propionibacteriales; Kribbellaceae. The record is from RNAcentral.